UCACACGAAACAAAUGUUUUACUCAAUCAUUUAACCCGGCGUUUAAUCGGUGAUCGCGCGAACCCAAACUGUCACCUAACAAAUCACUUUAAGACCAAAACCCAGCGAACCUUGCACGUCUUUUGAACGUGCACAACUCUCUUUUCUCUCUAGCCGCAGAUAACUGAACAUCUGGUAGACGUUGAUUCCCGGUUGUGGUUAAGAAGUUAUUAAAAAAAAAAAAGGUAAUAAAGCACGUCAAGGUCAUAAAAGAUCGUAAUAUUAUCAGUCAGCGCGAUUUGCAAGCCUAUUCGUCGUGUGAACGAUUGCGCAGUAAGAAAAAUUAAUAACGUCACAUUGCGCAAAAAUAACGACUAGACAGGCGAUGCUUAUCCGUCCAAAAAAUAUGAAACUUGACUGCCCAAUAAUUUCAUGUUACUCAAGAGUGAUCGGACUUUCAGCAAAUCCGGUUAGUCAAAGAAGUAAUUACAUCCUUAUCAAUGCCGGCUGAUAAGAUUAAUAAAAAAUGAUCCCUCAUCUACUUUAAUCGUCCUAAGAUAAAAUACACUCGUGCGACGAUCAAUGUCCCAGCGAUUAUAAUUACACGUGAAGUUACGUCUAUCUCGAGCAAACGUAACACUGACCUUUAAGCUGUUUAGCCUUCGGUAUAUAGAGACUGAAAGGAGGGGGGAAAAAAUGUGAUCAGAGAAGGAAACACGACCUGAAACAUAUUUUAUGCACUAUUUGGCGCGCACGUUUCAUUCACGCGACUGUAUCCGAUGGGCACAAUGAAUAAUUCAUCCAUCAUAAAUAAUUCUACGUGAAUUCAAUUAGACUUCAGCAAAGGGACGAUGUCGUGAUUGUUAUUAUUAUUUUCUUAAAUAUCCGUAAUAUAUACGCAUGGGAAUUGUAAGGUGACCACGUGCUCGCUGCUUGUCAAUCCUCAAUCUACGUCGUUACUCAAGGACCAUCCUGGGUCAGCUAGGUCAUGGCUGGUUCGAUGUAUCGAUCCUACAUAUUGUACAACGGCGCCAUCUACAAGGAGCAGGAAACACUGUCGCAAUAUUGCACGAGUAGACGUAAACGAACGUAAUACAAAGCCUAACAAUGGUAUGCGUGAAGUAUGAAUGACGCCCAAGCACCCACAGUUACUAAAUAAAUUGAUAAAAUGAAUGAAGGCAAAUAUUGUUAUAAAUAUUCCGUAUCUAUUCGGAUCAAAACACCAUAGCAUGUGACUACAAGGACUCUACCUAAAGUGAAAUGGAUUGUAGAAAAAUUAUAAAAAUUGUGGGAUAUCUAA
Molecule: long non-coding RNA, 1279 nt
Organism: Cephus cinctus (wheat stem sawfly)
Lineage: Eukaryota; Metazoa; Arthropoda; Insecta; Hymenoptera; Cephidae
Exons: 2
Source: RefSeq, a predicted model, not a curated record